UGCUUUGCGCAGUGGCAGUAUCGUAGCCAAUGAGGUUUAUCCGGCGCUAUUAUUGCUAAUUGAAAACUUUUCCCAAUACCCCACCAUGACGACUUGAAAUAUAGUCGGCAUUGACAAUUUUUGACAAUCUCUACAGAGA
RNAcentral lists this small nuclear RNA (139 nucleotides) under Aotus nancymaae (Ma's night monkey). RNAcentral describes it as "U4 spliceosomal RNA (ENSANAG00000004271.1)". It matches the Rfam family "U4 spliceosomal RNA". Rfam says of the family: U4 small nuclear RNA (U4 snRNA) is a component of the major U2-dependent spliceosome. The structure of U4 snRNA from yeast and human has been reported. U4 snRNA presents a k-turn RNA motif in the 5p-SL related to recognition of Snu13 protein. Lineage: Eukaryota; Metazoa; Chordata; Mammalia; Primates; Aotidae. The record is from Rfam by way of RNAcentral.